RNAcentral lists this ribosomal RNA (263 nucleotides) under Cladosporium sp. Its description in RNAcentral is "partial small subunit ribosomal RNA". It matches the Rfam family "Eukaryotic small subunit ribosomal RNA", at positions 1187 to 1471 of the family's 1831-position model. The record is from RNAcentral. Lineage: Eukaryota; Fungi; Ascomycota; Dothideomycetes; Cladosporiales; Cladosporiaceae.
ANGGCUUAUUUGACUCAACACGGGGAAACUCACCAGGUCCAGACACAAUAAGGAUUGACAGAUUGAGAGCUCUUUCUUGAUUUUGUGGGUGGUGGUGCAUGGCCGUUCUUAGUUGGUGGAGUGAUUUGUCUGCUUAAUUGCGAUAACGAACGAGACCUUAACCUGCUAAAUAGCCAGGCCCGCUUUGGCGGGUCGCCGGCUUCUUAGAGGGACUAUCGGCUCAAGCCGAUGGAAGUUUGAGGCAAUAACAGGUCUGUGAUGCA